UCCCAAUCUGAACCACUUACCCCCUCGUCUUCAUUUUACCCUUUCUGCUUGGAAGAGUGUGUAUUUAGCCAUCAGUUCAUUUUGUGUGGUCUGAGUUAUAAAAUGCCCCUGCUGGUUUUUUCCAUAUGAAAAGCAUGUUUUUCAUUUGUGGAAACUUAUAUAAUUUUUUCCCCAGUCUCUCUCUCUCUCUCUCUCUCUCUCUCUCUCUCUCUCUUUUGUGCUGCUUUAAAUUAAAAGCAAAUGUAUUUCCCUCCCCUUCAUUCUGGCUCUCCCGCCCCACCCCCACCUUUGCAUGUUCCAAUUACGGAGUUGUGAAAAUAAGUCAUCUUUCAGCUUUUGUUACUUUAGAACAGCUAUCGUGAUGUCAGAGUCAAUACUAAAAGCACUAAGAAUGCUGGCAGAACACCGUGCAGCUGCAGUCCAACAUGAUGCUGGAAAUGGGGUUGAGAGCAUAAAGGCUUUCCAUAUUCCCAGGGCGCACAACUGCUCGCGGCCUUGGCUUUGAUCUCUUCAAAGGCUGCUGCCUCCUCCUAGAUGGGGAGACUUGGCUGCCACUCGCUCACAUUGAAAAAAGGCAGAGGUCUCUAUUCAGGCAGAAAUCAAUCACUGUGCAGAAACAAUUAUGUGUAAUUCAACCAUCAUGAAAACAGGGCGAGAUUACCGGGUUUGUUACCUGAGUGACUGUGCGGGGACGGGGAGCAGAGAACACUGGAGUCCCGCUGACAUGCCACAUCUCGAUGACAAUUAUAGACACAUGAAUGAUGUGGCGGGCGGGGGAGGCCCAGUGACAAAUGCUGGUCACACUGUCCAGCAGAGCAGAAAAUGAGGUUACAAUUGGGAGAUAAUGUUUGCAUAUGUAACCAUAUUUCAGCAAGCUGAACAACUUCAGGGAAUAGACCCUUAAAAACUCCCGUGAAUAUCUGCAUGCUUCUGUCUGUGUACUAGCAUGCGACUUCGCUAUCGGCAGGAUCAAAGAUCAAAAUAAUCCAAAUAAUUUAGGAUUGUGCCAGAUGAGAAGAAAGAAACUUUAACUUUGGGUUGUAUUGGCUCAUUUGGAGUGUACUAUGCCGGCACAAUUUCUAACCUAAUACAUGGGUCAGUCUUUAGACAUCUGAUUCAAGAAUACCAUUGUGUUUUAGAAUCUGCUAAUCUGUCUCACAAAGGCCUUAGUGCUUGCUCAUUGGCAUGAAUCUUCUGGAAAGUGAUUUUUUUUUUGUCAGUUGUACCAUCUUCCCUUGUUUUCAUAAAGCAAACCUUGUGAAAAGCCUCUAAAUUUCCUUUCAUUGUGGACAAAAACAAGGCCGAUUUUCUACAUAGGAAAUAACUUCUUGCCUUCAGUAGAGGUCUAUUUAAUCUCGCAGCCCUGGCACACAAAGCCGUCGAGGUUUUUUUUUUAAUUAUUUUUAUUUUUAACUCAUUCUUGACACCUAACAGAAGCAGGGGAGUCACCUCACACUUGGCUAGCUAGCUGAGGUGCGCAGGGGUAGGGUCGGGGUGGGGGAGGGCAGCACAAAAAUAAGAUGAAAACCUGGAUAGCUGAUUAUAAAACUUGGUAUUGCUGCUGCGCAGUUUGAUACCCAGGCCCUGGGUUUACCUUUUAUGCGGCUCCAGCUUAGACAUCAGAGGCGUGAGAGCCUGCUUUGAGUUACAGAUCUUCAAACAAUAAGUCAAAACAACAACAAAAAAAAUCAAUCCCCCUCCGGUCCCUGGGUGCAGUUAUGGAAAGAUAAAAGAGAAAAGCGAGGCUAUGCUAAAGCAGAUAUAAGAGGAGGCGAGCAGAUAGGCUAGGGAGAGAAACAUGGAGGACAAGUCCGAGUUGAAGUGGGCCUCUUGUGAGCCAGCAUCAGUGGACUGUUAUCUUAUCAAGAAGUUUGAGGGUCAGUUGACAGUUCUCUUCAAACUGGAUCCAGUCUGGUCCCAGGCUGCCUGGAGCAUCGGCUUCUAUAAAGUCACUUUUCCCCAUCUUAAAUACAAUCAACUUGGAAUGGGGAUCACAUUCCACCCAGUGUAUAAAACUCGCCACUGACUGCAGGGGCGAAUUAGAGGUUUUGAUAAUCCCUUGGUAUUUUGAAUAUAAAUCGAGGGUGGUGGGUCUGUGUGUUUUGUGUGCGUGUUUAUUGAAAGCUGAGGGUUAUAUGAAAUGCUAGGCAAAUCUCUACACCGCGUGUGCAUUCUGUGGCCAGGUUUCUAAUAGCCGGAAAGCCCCUUAAGAUGUCUGUACUUGCCCUGUUUCUUGUGGCUAAUAUCAGGCAUAACUG
Molecule: long non-coding RNA, 2258 nt
Filed under: Mus musculus (house mouse)
Lineage: Eukaryota; Metazoa; Chordata; Mammalia; Rodentia; Muridae
Description: long non-coding RNA chr3:131136784-131139042
Source: RNAcentral